UACCACUUGUUGCCUCGGCGGAUCAGCCCGCUCCCGGUAAAACGGGACGGCCCGCCAGAGGACCCCUAAAACUCUGUUUCUAUAUGUAACUUCUGAGUAAAACCAUAAAUAAAUCAAAACUUUCAACAACGGAUCUCUUGGUUCUGGCAUCGAUGAAGAACGCAGCAAAAUGCGAUAAGUAAUGUGAAUUGCAGAAUUCAGUGAAUCAUCGAAUCUUUGAACGCACAUUGCGCCCGCCAGUAUUCUGGCGGGCAUGCCUGUUCGAGCGUCAUUUCAACCCUCAAGCACAGCUUGGUGUUGGGACUCGCGUUAAUUCGCGUUCCUCAA
RNAcentral lists this ribosomal RNA (327 nucleotides) under Fusarium oxysporum f. sp. niveum. RNAcentral describes it as "partial 18S ribosomal RNA". The stretch from base 118 to 271 matches the Rfam family "5.8S ribosomal RNA". Lineage: Eukaryota; Fungi; Ascomycota; Sordariomycetes; Hypocreales; Nectriaceae. The record is from RNAcentral.